RNAcentral lists this ribosomal RNA (424 nucleotides) under Verrucomicrobiota bacterium. RNAcentral describes it as "Verrucomicrobia bacterium partial 16S ribosomal RNA". It matches the Rfam family "Bacterial small subunit ribosomal RNA", at positions 355 to 776 of the family's 1533-position model. The record is from RNAcentral. Lineage: Bacteria; Pseudomonadati; Verrucomicrobiota.
UGAGGAAUAUUGGUCAAUGGGCGAGAGCCUGAACCAGCCAAGUAGCGUGCAGGACGACGGCCCUAUGGGUUGUAAACUGCUUUUAUGUGGGGAUAAAGUGCGUGACGUGUCAUGCAUUGCAGGUACCACAUGAAUAAGGACCGGCUAAUUCCGUGCCAGCAGCCGCGGUAAUACGGAAGGUUCGGGCGUUAUCCGGAUUUAUUGGGUUUAAAGGGAGCGUAGGCUGUUUGUUAAGCGUGUUGUGAAAUGUAGGAGCUCAACUUUUAGAUUGCAGCGCGAACUGGCAGACUUGAGUGCGCACAACGUAGGCGGAAUUCAUGGUGUAGCGGUGAAAUGCUUAGAUAUCAUGACGAACUCCGAUUGCGAAGGCAGCUUACGGGAGCGCAACUGACGCUAAAGCUCGAAGGUGCGGGUAUCGAACAGG